This 254-nucleotide ribosomal RNA is filed under the name uncultured bacterium. Its description in RNAcentral is "partial 16S ribosomal RNA". It matches the Rfam family "Bacterial small subunit ribosomal RNA", at positions 524 to 776 of the family's 1533-position model. The record is from RNAcentral.
UACGAAGGGGGCUAGCGUUGUUCGGAAUUACUGGGCGUAAAGGGCGCGUAGGCGGCCACUGCAAGUCAGUUGUGAAAUCUCCGGGCUUAACCCGGAAAGGUCAACUGAUACUGCAGGGCUAGAGUGCAGAAGGGGCAACUGGAAUUCUCGGUGUAGCGGUGAAAUGCGUAGAUAUCGAGAGGAACACCUGCGGCGAAGGCGGGUUGCUGGGCUGACACUGACGCUGAGGCGCGAAAGCCAGGGGAGCGAACGGG